This 500-nucleotide ribosomal RNA is filed under the name uncultured bacterium. RNAcentral describes it as "partial 16S ribosomal RNA". It matches the Rfam family "Bacterial small subunit ribosomal RNA", at positions 30 to 523 of the family's 1533-position model. The record is from RNAcentral.
AUUGAACGCUGGCGGAAUGCUUUACACAUGCAAGUCGAACGGCAGCACGGACUUCGGUCUGGUGGCGAGUGGCGAACGGGUGAGUAAUGUAUCGGAACGUGCCCAGUCGUGGGGGAUAACGUAGUGAAAAUUACGCUAAUACCGCAUACGAUCUAUGGAUGAAAGCGGGGGAUCGCAAGACCUCGCGGGAUUGGAGCGGCCGAUAUCAGAUUAGGUAGUUGGAGGGGUAAAGGCCCACCAAGCCAACGAUCUGUAGCUGGUCUGCGAGGACGACCAGCCAAACUGGAACUGAGACACGGUCCAGACUCCUACGGGAGGCAGCAGUGGGGAAUUUUGGACAAUGGGCGAAAGCCUGAUCCAGCCAUUCCGCGUGCAGGAUGAAGGCCCUCGGGUUGUAAACUGCUUUUGUACAGAACGAAAAGGUUUCUACUAAUACUAGGAGCUCAUGACGGUACUGUAAGAAUAAGCACCGGCUAACUACGUGCCAGCCGCCGCCGUAA